GCAAGAAGCAGCCCCACUCCUGCACUCGGCUGUACUCAGAAACCAAGUCGUUUCCUGUCUGGGAAGGCGGCAUCUGCCAUUACCUAUACAAGAGGGUCUACAAAGUCCACCAGGACAUCUGCUACAAGGAGAGCUGUGAGAGCACUGCUUCAAAGAAGACAGGCAGCAGAAAACAAAGUAACAGUCACGCACUGAAGAAGCCAUAGAGGUUCAAAGCACUAAGAGCUUCCAUCUUACCAGAUCUAAGGCCUUUCAAUCACCAGGAAGACUGGAUCUACAAAUAGUGGGGGAGACUUUCCUAUGUGGAGUCACUGCCCUUCCCUCUCCUCCAGCCUGUUAGGGACACACUCAGACUGCCACACCACACAGUCAUUUCCCCUCUCGGCAGCAGGCGCACCAGAGCCCUCACACGGGCUUUCCUUAUUGCGGAUGCCCUUCUUCUCAUCACCAGACACCAUCCAGGGACAAGCAACAUCACAUUAGAAUGGCUGACUGUCUCAUACAGGGGUUCGCCUAUCUUCGUAACCCAGGCCUGUUCAUGUGAGUCCCUCCUCUGCAUGGGCAUUUACAGGGCUGAAAUCCAGCCCCCUCUUACCAACAUAUGCACCAAUCUGUUAAAUUACAAAUCAAGUUUAAUGCAGCACUAUACUCCUUAGCUAUGAACUGACACCUGACCUACAGAGCCCCGGCAGAGAUGUAAAAUAUUCCCCGGCACAGUCCAGUAAAAAAAAUCCUAUUUCAACUGAUGAGGGUGGAAAAUAAAGAAAGUAGUAGA
Molecule: non-coding RNA, 775 nt
Organism: Chelonoidis abingdonii (Abingdon island giant tortoise)
Lineage: Eukaryota; Metazoa; Chordata; Testudines; Testudinidae
Source: RefSeq, a predicted model, not a curated record